Molecule: ribosomal RNA, 780 nt
Filed under: uncultured bacterium
Lineage: Bacteria
Description: bacterial SSU rRNA
Rfam family: Bacterial small subunit ribosomal RNA
Source: RNAcentral
AGUCAGGGGGAAUCCUCCCUUCGGGGAGGUAGUACACCGGCGCACGGGUGAGUAACGCGUGAGUGACCUACCCAUUAGACCUGGAUAACCCGGCGAAAGUUGGGCUAAGACAGGAUGUGUUAAUAUACUUCAUGGUGUAUUAAUAAAGGCAGGUUUCGGCUUGUGCUAAUGGAUGGGCUCGCGUAUGAUUAGCUAGUUGGUAAGGUAAAGGCUUACCAAGGCGACGAUCAUUAGGCGGCCUGAGAGGGUGGUCGCCCACACUGGAACUGAGACACGGUCCAGACUCCUACGGGAGGCAGCAGUGGGGAAUUUUGCGCAAUGGGCGAGAGCCUGACGCAGCGACGCCGCGUGGACGAGGAAGGCCUUCGGGUCGUAAAGUCCUUUUUUACGGGAAGAAAGGUAUUGACAGUAACUGGUUAAUAUUUGACGGUACCGUAAGAAUAAGCCCCGGCUAACUCCGUGCCAGCAGCCGCGGUAAUACGGAGGGGGCGAGCGUUGUUCGGAAUUACUGGGCGUAAAGCGUACGUAGGCGGCGUGGUAAGUCGGAGGUUAAAGGCUACGGCUCAACCGUAGUAGGGCCUUUGAUACUAUCAUGCUAGAGUGUCGGAGGGGGUAGCGGAAUUCCCUGUGUAGCGGUGAAAUGCGUAGAUAUAGGGAAGAACACCAGUAGCGAAGGCGGCUACCUGGCCGAUCACUGACGCUGAGGUACGAGAGCGUGGGUAGCAAACAGGAUUAGAUACCCUGGUAGUCCACGCUGUAAACGAUGGACGCUAGGUGUUG